GUGGUUCAGUGGUAGAAUUCCCGCCUUCCACGCCGGAGACCAGAGUUCGAUUCCCAGC
Molecule: transfer RNA, 58 nt
Filed under: Loxodonta africana (African savanna elephant)
Lineage: Eukaryota; Metazoa; Chordata; Mammalia; Proboscidea; Elephantidae
Rfam family: tRNA
About the family: Transfer RNA (tRNA) molecules are approximately 80 nucleotides in length.
Source: Rfam by way of RNAcentral